This 497-nucleotide ribosomal RNA is filed under the name uncultured bacterium. Its description in RNAcentral is "partial 16S ribosomal RNA". It matches the Rfam family "Bacterial small subunit ribosomal RNA", at positions 30 to 507 of the family's 1533-position model. The record is from RNAcentral.
AUUGAACGCUGGCGGCAUGCCUAACACAUGCAAGUCGAGCGGAAGCACGGGUGCUUCCCCUUGGUGCCGAGUGGGGCGGGGGUGUGAGUCACAUGAGGAUAUCUCCUAUAUUGGGCUAGAGUCCGUCGAAGGCCGCUGUGAUACCACAUGCUAUUAUCGUGAAAAAGCUGGUUCCCUGGUGCCCGCGCGUUCUGCUGUUACUCGUUGGUGGAUCCGGGCGGGAUUAGCUAGUUGGUGGGGUAAAGGCCUACCAAGGCGACGAUCCGUAGCUGGUCUGAGAGGAGGAUCAGCCACACUGGAACUGAGACACGGUCCAGACUCCUACGGGAGGCAGCAGUGGGGAAUUUUGGACAAUGGGCGAAAGCCUGAUCCAGCAAUGCCGCGUGUGUGAAGAAGGUCUUCGGAUUGUAAAGCACUUUUAGUCGGGAAGAAAUGCUGGGACCUAAUACGGUCGGGGGUUGACGGUACCGAAAGAAUAAGCACCGGCUAACUACGUG